This 473-nucleotide ribosomal RNA is filed under the name uncultured bacterium. Its description in RNAcentral is "bacterial SSU rRNA". It matches the Rfam family "Bacterial small subunit ribosomal RNA", at positions 30 to 496 of the family's 1533-position model. The record is from RNAcentral.
AUUGAACGCUGGCGGCAGGCCUAACACAUGCAAGUCGAGCGCGAAAAUUCCUUCGGGGAUGAGUAGAGCGGCGGACGGGUGAGUAAUGCGCAGAAAUCUGCCCAGUAGUGGGGGACAACCUGGUGAAAACCAGGCUAAUACCGCAUACGCCUACGGGGAAAGGACAGGGAGUCUUCGGACCUUGCGCUAUUGGAUGAGUCUGCGUCGGAUUAGCUUGUUGGUGAGGUAAUGGCUCACCAAGGCGACGAUCCGUAGCUGGUCUGAGAGGAUGAUCAGCCACACUGGGACUGAGACACGGCCCAGACUCCUACGGGAGGCAGCAGUGGGGAAUAUUGGACAAUGGGCGAAAGCCUGAUCCAGCCAUGCCGCGUGUGUGAAGAAGGCUCUAGGGUUGUAAAGCACUUUCAGUGGGGAAGAAAGCUUGUUAGCUAAUAACUGAUGAGUGUGACCAUUACCCACAGAAGAAGCACCGG